ACCCUCAAGUGAUGAAUACAUAGCCCUGGGAGGUCCAUGACCAGAUUGGGAUGUUUUGGUACUGUCUGAUGAGGCC
This is a small nucleolar RNA of Heterocephalus glaber (naked mole-rat), 76 nucleotides long. The record is from Ensembl. Lineage: Eukaryota; Metazoa; Chordata; Mammalia; Rodentia; Bathyergidae.